This 497-nucleotide ribosomal RNA is filed under the name uncultured bacterium. RNAcentral describes it as "partial 16S ribosomal RNA". It matches the Rfam family "Bacterial small subunit ribosomal RNA", at positions 28 to 507 of the family's 1533-position model. The record is from RNAcentral.
GAUGAACGCUGGCGGCGUGCCUAAUACAUGCCAGUCGAGCGACCGCACGAGAAGCUUUCUCCUCUGAUGUUAGCGGCGGACGGGCGAGUAACACGUGGAUAACCUACUUCUAUGACUGGGAUAACUUCGGGAAACCGGAGCUAAUAAUGGAUAAUAUUUUGAACGGCAUGGUUCAAAAGUGAUAGACGGCCUUGCUGUCAUUUUUAGCCGGUUCCGCGCUGCCUUGGCUAGUUGGUAAGGUAACGCCUUACCAAGGCAACGAUGCAUAGCUGAGCUGAGAGGGUGAUCGGCCACACUGGAACUGAGACACGGUCCAGACUCCUACGGGAGGCAGCAGUGGGGAAUCUUGCACAAUGGGCGAAAGCCUGAUCCAGCCAUACCGCGUGAGUGAAGAAGGACUUCGGGUCGUAAAACCCUUUUAUUGGGGAAGAACAUAAGUGUGAGUAUAUCUGCACGUCCUGACGGUACCUAAUCAAAAAGCAACGGCUAACUACGUG